UUGGAGGGAGAGAAGUGGCGCAAGUUAUAUUGAAACUCUCUCUGACUGCGAGCUGAUCCCAAAUCAGACGUACAAACUGUCUGGACAUCCUGCCAACCAUGUCCAGCCUAAGAAUGCAAAAUUCGUGAACUUUAAAGAAUACCAUAACUACACUGCUUCGUUUGAAGUCCAGCUCGCUAUCGAUGUGAAAAUCGUGGAGCUGGAGCUGAAACUUUUGAGGCCUGGGUGGCUGCCAGACUGGCUGUUUGGAUCACAUGAGCCUGUGGUGUGGAGCAGCGUCGUCCAGCUUACAGCCACUCCAGCAUCACACACGGCAGCCG
Molecule: long non-coding RNA, 320 nt
Organism: Myripristis murdjan (pinecone soldierfish)
Lineage: Eukaryota; Metazoa; Chordata; Actinopteri; Holocentriformes; Holocentridae
Exons: 4
Source: RefSeq, a predicted model, not a curated record